GGGUUCGGAAAGUGAGAAAGUGAGCUACGAGUAUCGUGAGCCCACAAAAUCUCAGAGAAAUCUUCAACAUCCUCUCAAGCAUGUCUGUUGAUGAUCUGGAGCAUUCAAAGAAUCGACAGACAUCGAUCGAAAGAGUUCAAUCAGCAUCGACCGUCAAAAGGGCUCCACAACGAGCUAGCACUCGUGAGGAGUCGAUCAGACCGGGAGCUUCGUGUGGAUGAUCCGCA
Molecule: long non-coding RNA, 227 nt
Filed under: Elaeis guineensis (African oil palm)
Lineage: Eukaryota; Viridiplantae; Streptophyta; Magnoliopsida; Arecales; Arecaceae
Description: long non-coding RNA (EGUI_LNC054595)
Source: RNAcentral